AAAGUGCGAUAAGCAAUGCGAAUUGCAGAAUUCCGCGAAUCAUCAGAUCCUUGAACGCAACUGGCGCUAGGGGGCUCUCCCCCUAGCAUGCCUGUUUCAGUGUCUGAAAACCUCACAUCUAACUUAAUGUGGUUGACAAGGGAGGAAGUUUCUACUUCCUACUCAAGUCUUCCAUUAAAGAUGUGCGUGUGGGUCUUUGGACCCCUCAUCGAAUUGGUCACUGGUCUCUUCAGUGAUUUCGAUAGGGGAAAAAUACCAAUUACUCGAAUACACGCAGAAAUUCAAACACUCAAACUCUGCAUCUGAAAUCAGGCAAGAACACCCGCUGAACUUAA
This 335-nucleotide unclassified non-coding RNA is filed under the name uncultured fungus. RNAcentral describes it as "sequence contains ITS1". The stretch from base 1 to 105 matches the Rfam family "5.8S ribosomal RNA", at positions 50 to 154 of the family's 154-position model. The record is from RNAcentral. Lineage: Eukaryota; Fungi.